Molecule: ribosomal RNA, 253 nt
Filed under: uncultured bacterium
Lineage: Bacteria
Description: partial 16S ribosomal RNA
Rfam family: Bacterial small subunit ribosomal RNA
Source: RNAcentral
UACGUAGGGUGCGAGCGUUGUCCGGAAUUACUGGGCGUAAAGAGCUCGUAGGUGGUUUGUCGCGUUGUUCGUGAAAACUCACAGCUCAACUGUGGGCGUGCGGGCGAUACGGGCAGACUGGAGUACUGCAGGGGAGACUGGAAUUCCUGGUGUAGCGGUGGAAUGCGCAGAUAUCAGGAGGAACACCGGUGGCGAAGGCGGGUCUCUGGCCCGUUCUUGACGCUGAGGCGCGAAAGCUAGGGUAGCAAACGGG